UCUUCCCAUAUCUCCAAACCAAUUUCUUCAAAAAACCCUCAAACUCCUUGAAUUUUAGAUCUAAGAAACUUUAGCCGCCACUUUUUAGUCCAAAUUCUUGAAGCUCCGGACAACACCACCCUACAACACAUACAAGAAUGGAUAGAGCUCCACGAGACCUAUCUUUUCCUACCCAUUUCACCCCCAAAAUCCCCGUCGCCGCCGACCCGCUCCUCGCCGCCGCCACGGCUCCACCGCCUCACCACCGCCAAAAUGCCCCGAACCCCCAUUUUAGCUAUUUUUCGACUCAAAGACACUCGUUUCUUUUGGCGAGAUGCUGAAACGUAUUUCGUUCUAGCAUCUACCCGAAAGAAACAUGCGUUUCGGAGUCGGGUAGUCACCUUUUAGCAUCUCCGGCGACUUCUCGUGGCUCGAACGACUUCAAGCAUACUUGUUAGGUAUAAUCGUCAUCUCUUUAAUUAAUUUCUGAUUUUUUUUAUUUAGUAGAUUAGUUUCUGAUUUUAUUUAUUUAUUUAUUUUUCUGUUUUGGUUAUUUCUUGUUAAUUAGAGUUUCAAGUUAGGUUUAUUUAAUUAGCUACCUCUAUUUAGUUUAGUAGUUUGUUAGAUUCGUUAUUGAUUUAAACAUGAUCUUUAGUGUAUUAGUUAAAUCGUUCCCUUAGUUAGUCGAUUAUUUAGUUGUUGUUAGUCGUUGUUCGAUUGUUAACGAUGCUCGUUCUGUUUUGAGCAUUAGUUUGUGAAUUUAGUUGUUUGUUUAGUAAUUAGUUUGCACAAAUCGAAUUCAUUCCCAUCAAGUUGGUUUUAAUACUUAGUUCAAUUACGUUUUUAGUCUCGUCUAUGCUUUGUCAGUUCAUAGUUGUCCAAGUUUGAUUUGUGUUGAGCAAGUAGUUUGUUGUUGAUGGUUAAAAUCUGAAAUUUAGUUUAUUUUAUCACAAAAUAGGGUAAUAGUAGCUUACUUUUACUAGUAGGGUGGCUGAAAGGACAUUUUUUCUCCUUGCUUCUGACACAACAGAUUUUCAGGUUGUCCUUUCACCUUUGGGACAGACCUUGAACAGUGUUUAGCACAUAAAGUCAGUCUUUUGGACAGAUUUUUGGUGAACCAAAAUCUGUCCAAAAAAUCUAACUUUAUUUGCCUAUUGAAAGGGUUGUUUUUCUCCUAUAAAAGGGACUCACUUACACUUAGAAUGCAGAGGCCUACUCACUGAAAAGGGGGACACUCUAUCUUAUACUGAGACACAUCUUGGAGAGUUGCUUAAAGAUAUAUAUCUUUGAGAAAAAUCAGCAGCUUAAUACAUAUAACAAGGUGAAAUUUCAGAGUUUUUUGAGGAUUAUUUGAGUGCAAAAACCUCGAGAAAAAUAGAAAGAUCCCUUAGGCAAUUUGUGAAGUUGAUAUCUACAAGUUUCAAGCAUCUUUGUUGAGUUUUCUGGGUUGUCUUAACACUUGAGUUGCUGCUGUUUCUACUGUAUUUGCUGCUGAGUUUUUUUUUUUGGUUACUGCACUGCUGUAUUUUAUUAUUCCACAAACCAGGUAACUUUUAAAUUCUUAUAUUGCAGAUUCUUGAUGAUAAUAAGAAGGAUUUGAUCCCAGUUUGGUUGAUGGAACAUAUUAGAUCUGAUUUUGUUUCAAGAUGAAUGUUAUAUUAGUGUUAUUAUCAUGUAAAUCUGUUAAAAAUUAGUUAAAUUAUGAUUUUCUUCUUUAUAUAUGUGAUUGAAAUUGCAUUCUGUUAAGAUUACUUAGUUUAAGAAAAAGAUAAAGACCCCACUUUUAACCAUGUUUGUUUAGUUUGGGC
RNAcentral lists this long non-coding RNA (1787 nucleotides) under Nicotiana tabacum (common tobacco). RNAcentral describes it as "long non-coding RNA (NTAB_LNC000237)". Lineage: Eukaryota; Viridiplantae; Streptophyta; Magnoliopsida; Solanales; Solanaceae. The record is from RNAcentral.